This 253-nucleotide ribosomal RNA is filed under the name uncultured bacterium. Its description in RNAcentral is "partial 16S ribosomal RNA". It matches the Rfam family "Bacterial small subunit ribosomal RNA", at positions 524 to 776 of the family's 1533-position model. The record is from RNAcentral.
UACAGAGGUCUCAAGCGUUGUUCGGAUUCAUUGGGCGUAAAGGGUGCGUAGGUGGCGCCGUAAGUCGGGUGUGAAAUCUCGGGGCUUAACUCCGAAACUGCAUUCGAUACUGCCGUGCUUGAGGACUGGAGAGGAGACUGGAAUUUACGGUGUAGCGGUGAAAUGCGUAGAUAUCGUAAGGAAGACCAGUGGCGAAGGCGGGUCUCUGGACAGUUCCUGACGCUGAGGCACGAAGGCCAGGGGAGCAAACGGG